Molecule: long non-coding RNA, 1113 nt
Organism: Mangifera indica (mango)
Lineage: Eukaryota; Viridiplantae; Streptophyta; Magnoliopsida; Sapindales; Anacardiaceae
Exons: 4
Source: RefSeq, a predicted model, not a curated record
ACUUUAAUGUCAAGAAGCAGAUACUGAUUCUAAUAGAUACCUGGCAAGAAGCUUUUGGAGGACUGAGGGCAAGGUAUCCACAAUAUUUUGCAGCAUACCAGGAGUUGUUGAGGCAGCUGAGUCUUCUACAGAUUCUGAGUUCCCAACUUUGAGGUAUUUCUCUUAGCAAGUUUUUAAUGGAAGCUAAUUUAGUGGUACUUAAUGCCAUGAGCAUAGCCAUUUAUUUGAUACUUGUGCUGUUUUUUUAAGCUGCCUGUGAGAAUAUGAUGUUAAAAUUUGUUAUGCACACACACUUAAUUGGUGUAGUGUUCCAUUGUUAUUGUGAUUUCAUUUCAGUGGUCAAUCCACUCUACUUAUGGCUCCAUUAUUUUUUUAUUUUUUGUCAUGUCUUUCUUCUGAGUACUGGAGCACUAACUUCACCUGAUGAUUUGGGUAUUGCAAAAUAAGAAUGAGUAUUGGCUAUUUGUUUUAUUUUAAUUUUAAUGUUUGUGUUGCAUUUACUACUUCCUUUACCAUCUUCUGUGGUAAAAUUAGUAAUCAUGUUUCAUAAUUUGGCUAGAAUUUGAUUAGCUUGACAGAAAUUCAGAAUGCAUGUGGCAUUAUGGAUGUCCUUUCUGAAAUGCUGAAUGCAUUAGAUCGAAGCAACAAAGAGGCACUAUUCAAACUCUAUUUGAUUCAACACUUUGCUACUAAAUCUUGGUGCGAGUUGGAUAAUUAAUUGAUAUGUAAUGCUGAAACUUAUGAAAUUUAGAUAAGUUUUAAGAUCUUACAUGUAAGUUCUAAAUGUUUAUGAUAAAAAUUAUAAACCUCUAAUCCAUUCAGUUAAUUUUGCUCUUACUGUAGACUACAGUUUAAUGUUCAUUUUCUAGUUUUAUGAUGUGUUAACUUUAACUUGCAGGAUGUUAAGCAGGAGGUGAUUAUUGACUGGGUGGAACAGUGUCGAACAUCUUGCUAAUUCAACUAAGUCAUUGUUUUUCACCCACUUAGAUGAGUCACUGCUAUGUCAAGGAUUUCUUGUGUAACAGUCAACAGGUACUUGAAGACACAAGUGAAUCUUGAAACAUUUGAUUGUAUGUGAUACAUAGAUUCUUAUAUUACUUGUAAUAAAUUUUU